Molecule: ribosomal RNA, 1021 nt
Filed under: human metagenome
Description: bacterial LSU rRNA
Rfam family: Bacterial large subunit ribosomal RNA
Source: RNAcentral
GAUCGAAGCCCCAGUAAACGGCGGCCGUAACUAUAACGGUCCUAAGGUAGCGAAAUUCCUUGUCGGGUAAGUUCCGACCCGCACGAAUGGCGUAACGAUGGCCACACUGUCUCCUCCUGAGACUCAGCGAAGUUGAAGUGGUUGUGAAGAUGCAAUCUACCCGCUGCUAGACGGAAAGACCCCGUGAACCUUUACUGUAGCUUUGCAUUGGACUUUGAAGUCACUUGUGUAGGAUAGGUGGGAGGCUUUGAAGCAGAGACGCCAGUCUCUGUGGAGCCGUCCUUGAAAUACCACCCUGGUGUCUUUGAGGUUCUAACCCAGACCCGUAAUCCGGGUCGGGGACCGUGCAUGGUAGGCAGUUUGACUGGGGCGGUCUCCUCCCAAAGAGUAACGGAGGAGUUCGAAGGUUACCUAGGUCCGGUCGGAAAUCGGACUGAUAGUGCAAUGGCAAAAGGUAGCUUAACUGCGAGACCGACAAGUCGAGCAGGUGCGAAAGCAGGACAUAGUGAUCCGGUGGUUCUGUAUGGAAGGGCCAUCGCUCAACGGAUAAAAGGUACUCCGGGGAUAACAGGCUGAUUCCGCCCAAGAGUUCAUAUCGACGGCGGAGUUUGGCACCUCGAUGUCGGCUCAUCACAUCCUGGGGCUGUAGUCGGUCCCAAGGGUAUGGCUGUUCGCCAUUUAAAGUGGUACGUGAGCUGGGUUUAAAACGUCGUGAGACAGUUUGGUCCCUAUCUGCAGUGGGCGUUGGAAGUUUGACGGGGGCUGCUCCUAGUACGAGAGGACCGGAGUGGACGAACCUCUGGUGUACCGGUUGUAACGCCAGUUGCAUAGCCGGGUAGCUAAGUUCGGAAGAGAUAAGCGCUGAAAGCAUCUAAGCGCGAAACUCGCCUGAAGAUGAGACUUCCCUUGUGGUUUAACCACACUAAAGAGUCGUUCGAGACCAGGACGUUGAUAGGUGGGGUGUGGAAGCGCGGUAACGCGUGAAGCUAACCCAUACUAAUUGCUCGUGAGGCUUGACUCU